UUUCUUUUUCUUCUCUUAUUGCUAGAACUUCAAAUGCACUAUUAAAUAAUAUUGGUGAUAACAGGCAUCCUUAUUUCACUCCUGAUCUCCUAGGGAAGGUUUCUAAUUUAUACCCAUUAUAAAUAAUGUUUGCUGCAAGUAAUGUGCUGUAAGAAAUGAAGAGCAGGUUAAUUUUGGAAAAAACAAGCAAAGACGCAAAUGAGAUUCUGAAGAGUGAAAUGAGCAGAACUGAGAGAAUAUUAUAUCCGACAAAAAUAUUGUUUGAAGAAUAAUUUGUGUAUGCCUAUCUCCAGAGAAAGAGUUGAUAAACAGAAGAAUAGGAAUUGUUCAAUUUAAUAAGGAAAAAGUGGAAAGAGCACUCAUUGGUUUGGGAGUCUAAGAAUUUGAAUUCAAAUACCACUUCUACUGAUUAUUACCGGUGUGUUGGUUGUCUCUCGAACCAAGGAUGACGAUUGUCUUUGUGCAUUUUUUGUGCACAAAAACACUUGUGCAUGAAGAUUUAAGUGGAAAAGUCGAUGCACAGAGACAGUCCCACUCUCUCAGCGUUGGAAGCCUGGGUCCAGUGGCACGAAAGAUCGUUACACCUGGAGACUUCCUCAGCUGCAUUGGAUGGCCGUGUUGUCUUUUGUGCUCCAACACGCCCUAAGCACUCCACAGUGCCUUGCUGCAUCACCAUCUUAGCCGUUGAACCUUCUUGUUGGUUUCUUCCGCCUGUUCUGCCGAAGCAGUCUUCACAUGCUGGGUGAGCAAAGCCCUAGUUCACCAGGGGUCAACGUCGACCCGAUGGCUACCCUCACAAGGUUUAGCCUGCCGAAGCCGUUGCCCGGAGUGUGGCCGCUGCCACAUGCUAGCAGCUACUAGGAGCCACAAGUGAGAGCUUGUGUUUUAUUUGUGUAUAAUAUGUAUAUUACCUGUGUAACACUAGGCAAAUUACAUUUUGGGUCUGUUUUCUCACUUCUUCAUUUCUCAGCAUUUUUCCAAAUGAAUUAUACCAAGGGCCCUGGAAACGUAUAUCCUGUGAGCUUUGGUCCUUACACUUCAUCAGUACCCUCAGUACCCUCUGUUCCUCUGAUUGGUGGAAGGUUAAACAAAGGACUCCUCUAAGAGCCUCUAUAUAAAGGGGGCUCCUGGGUCAACAUCUCUUCAUUUCCUACAAGCUUGUACUUCUUUGGACUGGAAUCCAUCAUUUCCACCCUCCUGAAUAUCUUUCUUCCUGUCAUUCCCAUUUCCUUUCAGCUUCCUUCUGUAUAUUGUUUUCUGCCAUUAGAUUUUAAGUUCCUUGAGGGCAAGGACUUCAUUCUUUUUUUAUAUUUGUAUCCCUGGUGCUUAGCAUAAUGCCUGACAUAUAGUAUGUGCUUAAAAAAUGUUUAUUGACUGACUAGUGACCUGUGAAUUGGAUUAGAUGGCCUUUGUGGACUAGAUCUAGAUGGGAUGAACUAAUAAUACAUUCAAGAAGUGCUUAUUCUGUCUGAGGCAACAGGUUAGACCAUGACUCACUAUUCUAUAGUAGGGAAUAUCACCUGAAUUGUAUUAUGUUAACCAAAUUCAGCAUAUGUAAUUGACUUAGCAUAACUCAAACAAGUUGUGUCAAUAAACAAAUAUUUAUUGAAUAUC
Molecule: long non-coding RNA, 1614 nt
Organism: Monodelphis domestica (gray short-tailed opossum)
Lineage: Eukaryota; Metazoa; Chordata; Mammalia; Didelphimorphia; Didelphidae
Source: RefSeq, a predicted model, not a curated record